GGCGCUAUAGCCAAGUGGUUACGGCGACAGAUUCGAAUCUUAAGUAGAUAUCUGUUCCUCUUUGAGGGCGCAGGUUCAAAUCCUGCUGGCGUCG
This 94-nucleotide transfer RNA is filed under the name Termitomyces sp. T159_Od127. RNAcentral describes it as "tRNA-Ser". It matches the Rfam family "tRNA". Rfam says of the family: Transfer RNA (tRNA) molecules are approximately 80 nucleotides in length. Their secondary structure includes four short double-helical elements and three loops (D, anti-codon, and T loops). Further hydrogen bonds mediate the characteristic L-shaped molecular structure. tRNAs have two regions of fundamental functional importance: the anti-codon, which is responsible for specific mRNA codon recognition, and the 3' end, to which the tRNAs corresponding amino acid is attached (by aminoacyl-tRNA synthetases). tRNAs cope with the degeneracy of the genetic code in two manners: having more than one tRNA (with a specific anti-codon) for a particular amino acid; and 'wobble' base-pairing, i.e. permitting non-standard base-pairing at the 3rd anti-codon position. Lineage: Eukaryota; Fungi; Basidiomycota; Agaricomycetes; Agaricales; Lyophyllaceae. The record is from RNAcentral.